GUGCUGGCUUUGGCAGUGCAUGCACUAAAACUGGAACGAUACAGGGAAGACUAGCAAGGAUGACAUGUGAAUUCAUGAAGCAUUCUAUAAUUUU
Small nuclear RNA from Bison bison bison, 94 nucleotides. The record is from Ensembl. NCBI's taxonomy places the organism in Eukaryota, Metazoa, Chordata, Mammalia, Artiodactyla, Bovidae.